The sequence is a small nucleolar RNA, 277 nucleotides long. It matches the Rfam family "Fungal small nucleolar RNA U3". Rfam says of the family: Small nucleolar RNAs (snoRNAs) are involved in the processing and modification of rRNA in the nucleolus. There are two main classes of snoRNAs: the box C/D class, and the box H/ACA class. U3 snoRNA is a member of the box C/D class.
GUCGACAAUACUCUAGAGAAUCAUUUCUAUAGGUUUUGUCCCAUCUUCUAUGUUUCCCAACAUAGCUACAGAUCCCACCCAGGUUGAUGACUACAAAUCCUCGACUGCCCUAGAGUGAAACACCAUUUUUUACUCUCGUCCUGCCUGCAAAGGUGGCGGCUUGCCCUCUUCGGAGGCUGGCUGUAUAGAGAGUGGUGAUGAUCUCUUACCCCGAUCUUCCAAGGGUCUUGCCUUCGGGCGCUUUGGCGGGGUGGCUUUCGAUGGACGUCUGACUGGC